UCAUAUUUAAGGAUCCUAGCUCCCUCUCC
Molecule: non-coding RNA, 29 nt
Filed under: Mus musculus (house mouse)
Lineage: Eukaryota; Metazoa; Chordata; Mammalia; Rodentia; Muridae
Source: RNAcentral